CCACCCACUAGGUCAGGUUGGACAAGGCCCUGUGCAACUUGGUCUUGAACACCUCCAGGGAUUGGGCAUCCACAACCUCUCUGGGCAACCUGUUACAGUGCCUCACUACCCAAAUAUCCAGAAAACCCUCUGCAAACAUCAGCAGAGCUGACAUGGUAUGAAAUUUAAAACAUGAGCUUCUUAGAUAUUAUUUUUUAAAAAUAGUUCCAACUGUUUCUGCAGAUAGUUUUUCACGAAUGAGUUUUGUAUCAGCUCUUGGGGUAUUUCAGGUGCAGCCAGGAAGCACAAACAGCUUUAAUUAUGGAAUCUGCUUCCUGCAGACAGAAUCACAGAAUAGUUUUUUGAAAGAAAAACAUUUGAAGUUCUUUGACCUACUGACAAAGAUUAAAAGUUCAGAGCCAGUCUGCCAUUGCUAUUGUCAACUUUCUCUUUUAAGCACUCAUUUGUGUAUUUCAGGGCUGCCUUAUAGAACGCUCCUUACAGGUCAAAGGUACUGCUAUUGGAAGGGUAAAUACUUUUAACUUUCUGCCUGUUGAAUUCCAACCUGCAGAGAGGCUUUGCAAAAAAUGAAGGUGAUACUUCUGGUUGGGCAUAUGCCCGGCUUCCUGGGACUUUGAUGCUUUCUCUGUAUGCAUUGUGGUGUAACCCCAUUAGGCUGCUGAGCUCCACACAGCCACUUGUUUACUCAACAACAGUGCCUGAGGUGAGAAUCAGAAAGGUAAAAGUUAGAAAAACUUGUGGCUUGAGAGAAAGACAGUGUACUAGGUAAAGCAAAAGUUGUGCAUGCAAGCAAAGGAAAAUAAAGAAUUUUUUUGCUACUUCCCAUCAGCAAGCAGAUGUUCAGUAAUUGCCAGGAAACCAGUACCAUCACAUAUGACAGUUUCUUGGGAAGACAAAUGCCAUAACUCCCAGUGUUCGCCCUUCCUCCUUCCCCCUCCCCCCAGUUUUAUUGUUGAGCAUGACAUCCUAUGGUAUGGAAUAUAAUAUUGCUUUGGCCGUUUUGGGCCAACUGUGCUGGCUAUGACCCCUCCCAGCUCUUGUGCAGCCUCCUCACUGGCAGGGCAGCACAAGAAAUAGAAAAGUCUUGGCUCUGUAACACUGCUCAGCAGCAGCUGAACACAUUGGUGUGCUAUCUCCAUUAUUUUCAUCAAAAACUCAAAACACAGCACCAUCUCUUCUCUAUGAAGAAAAUUAUCUUUGGUUAAAUUAACUUUUGUCCCAAAACCAGGACAACAUGGACACUUUGUCUGCGUGGAGCUUAUUUUUAUAUCUUUUAUUAAAGUAACACUUAAUUUCUGAGUGCUUGGGCAGGGUAAAUCAAAUUUGCAGUUAUGCCACUGAUUUUAGAAGUAAAUUAAGGUUGUAGACAGGUAAGGUCUUUUACGUAAAGGGUACUUCUGGAAUAGUGUUAUCCAGCCUAGAUCACUACAGCACAUUUGAAGCUCUGUGAAGCAAGGAGGCAAUUUUGUCCUUGCUGUCUGGUAGGAAUCAAGACAAACAAUGGUUAAAUGAGCUUUCUGUGGCACCAUGGGUCAACUGAGCCAAAGCAGGGACUUGUACCUGAGCCUCAGCUUUUCCUCUGGCUGAACCAGUAUCCUUCCUUUUUGGUCAUCUGCACAGCCAGUACAAGUGUCCUGCUGUCAGUGGAGUGUGUAUUGCUUUAAGACAGCCUGUGCACUGCCUAUUCUGCUCUCCAGACCUUGGGUGUACAAAUAGUUAAGGUAAGUGCAGGUCUUUGCAGUGUACAGUUAAAAAUUAAUCUGGACUAGAUCAGCACAGGGAUCCCAGCUGGCAAUAAGGGGUUUAAGAAGCAUGGGUCCUAUAGCAAUGACAGGCAGACCCCAGGACUUUUAACUGCAGACCAAUAACACAAACACCACAGCACUUUUCCUAGAAGAAACUAAAGACUAUCUUUAAAGUCUGAAUUAGUAGCUAUAUAACCUAAAGAUCCUCCAGCCGUUCCAUGAAAUGUUUAAAUCCAUGAUGCUUUCUUGUUAAACAUACAUACUGCACUACCUACCAAAGAUCUUUGUAAAGACCAAGAGGAUAAGAGCUGUACAGGUCCUGCAGGUAAGAAGAUAAGAACCUGCACUGUACUUAUUUUUAUAUAGACUAACAGUGCAGUGCAGGGGAGUUAGUACCACAUCUUCCAUUCAGAUUAAUACCAAAGUAUAAUCCCAUCCCCAGCACUAGGGCCCUCAUUUACCUCUUCAGAGAGCAAAGUUUUGGGAGUUUAGCCAGGACUGCAAGGUCAGAGCCAAGUAGGAGUGUGGUUUGCAAGUAGAUGAUGUCAUGUUUAAUGUCAUGGAAA
Molecule: long non-coding RNA, 2311 nt
Organism: Oxyura jamaicensis (ruddy duck)
Lineage: Eukaryota; Metazoa; Chordata; Aves; Anseriformes; Anatidae
Exons: 2
Source: RefSeq, a predicted model, not a curated record